UACGUAGGGUGCAAGCGUUGUCCGGAUUUAUUGGGUUUAAAGGGUGCGUAGGCGGCUGAUUAAGUCAGCGGUGAAAUUCCACAGCUCAACUGUGGAACUGCCAUUGAUACUGGUUAGCUUGAGUACAGAUGAGGUAGGCGGAAUUGACAGUGUAGCGGUGAAAUGCUUAGAUAUUGUCAAGAACACCUAUUGCGAAGGCAGCUUACUAAGCUGUAACUGACGCUGAGGCACGAAAGCGUGGGGAUCAAACAGG
Molecule: ribosomal RNA, 253 nt
Filed under: uncultured bacterium
Lineage: Bacteria
Description: partial 16S ribosomal RNA
Rfam family: Bacterial small subunit ribosomal RNA
Source: RNAcentral